Molecule: non-coding RNA, 81 nt
Organism: Trichonephila clavata
Lineage: Eukaryota; Metazoa; Arthropoda; Arachnida; Araneae; Nephilidae
Source: the annotation of a GenBank genome assembly
GCCUAGACCACUCGGCCACCGCGGCCUAUAGCGCGUUGGACUUCUAAUCCAAAGGUCGUGGGUUUGAAUCCCACCUGGGAA